RNA transcript from Spinacia oleracea (spinach), 6646 nucleotides. RefSeq lists it as uncharacterized. The transcript has 7 exons. Lineage: Eukaryota; Viridiplantae; Streptophyta; Magnoliopsida; Caryophyllales; Amaranthaceae. The record is from RefSeq and is a predicted model, not a curated record.
UUUUAUAAAUCUUAUUAAUACAUUUUAACGUAUAGUUAAUUAUAUUUAAAUAGAAUUUACGAAUUUUAGAAAUAAAAAUGUAAUUAACGAAUAUUUAUUUUUAUACGUUUUAAAUAUUUCAACGAUUUAUGAAAUUAAAAUAAUUUUAGAAUUUCAUGUUGAAAAUAAAUCGAAUUACAAAACCGAUUGAAUUUAGAGAACGUUCCUAAUCGAUUUUGGAAUGAAAUCCUAAAACUAAGUUCCUAAUUCUAGCCCACUUUGGUAAAGCCCAUUGUGAUAAACCUAAACCCCCAUAAUCUCAUCUCACGUGAAACCAAAGAAACAACAAAAGAAAAAUCUCUCUCCUUCAUCCUUCACCCUUCACGUGAACCCUCAAACCCUCAAACCUUGCAGCCGCCAGCCACCAGCCACCGCACACCGCCUGCACCACCCUCGCCGUCGGCGUCUCCUCCUUCGUCCGCAACCACCACCCACCUACGAAACUGACCGCGACAGCCACCGUCCUGUGUCGUCGCCGACCAACCAGCACCAACUUCGCAAUCCUUCCACACGCAAACAGUCCUCCCUUUGGCUUGUUCCUUGCUCACGGCACCACCACCAACGACCCGAGCAACCCUCGCUGCCACCAUCGACAGCCGCCACCGCCGCUGCCGCGCCAUCUCCGACCGCCGUCCAACCACUCUUCAUUCUUUCUUUUGGUGGAGAAUUCUCCGUAGGCGACUUUUGAAUUCUUAAAGUGGUCUCGCAUUUUGUUUACACAAGUCUCUAAGGAUCAAUAAGCGUUGCCCAUCUACAGGUUUGAAGAUGAUGCAUCAUUGGGAUCGGGAUUAGAGAGCUUGUAGUUCAUUUGAUUUUCUAAGUUGGAUUUGGUUUGUUUAAGUGGACUCUAAAACUUAUUGAAUUAGUAACAUUAACUUUGUUUUUCGUUGAUUGGUUUUUGGGAUUUAUUCUGAAAAUGAUUAUUUAUAAACCUACAGUUAGUUUUAUGUUUUCCGCUGCAAAAUUCUGAAUAAGCCGUUACGUUUUCACACGGGCGAUAAUGCCUUGAUAAUUCUCUACGUUUUAUAUUAAAAUGUUCUUUUAGAAAAGAGAGAAUUGUCGGGGUGUUACAAAGUGGUAUCUAGAAGCUAAGGUUUUACUUAACAAUUUUUUUAGGCGCCUAACUAUCUAGUUAUUUAAAAUAAAUUUCUUAAAAAUCGAGCUUCUACGUAUUAUAGUGUUCAAAAAUUGGUACUUUUUUUGGGGGGGCCGAUUUCCUUUUAUCUUGUUUGAAAGUAUAUAAUAUUUCUUAUUUAAGUUCGGAAUUAACUUAUUUAUUCGAAACUUUUUGUUUAUGUGAAUUAAGUACGUUUUUCUUUAUUUUCGAAAUUAAAUUAAAUAUAUUCGAAAAAAAUAAAAUAAAAAAAAAUCUUAUUCCUUAAGUAUAUUUAUUCGUUUAAUAUUUAUUCGCUUAAUAAAUAUGUAUUCGUUUAUUAUUUAUUCGUUUAAUAAAAAUUUCUUAUUAAUUAUUCGUUUUAAAAAAAUAAAUAAAAAUAUAUUCUUUAUUUUAUUUAUUCGUUUAUUAUUAAUUCGUUUAAUAAACUUUUUCUUACUAAUCGUUCUUGUUUUAUUCUUUAAAUUCUUCAAUGUUUGACCUAUUAUGAUUUAUUAUGAGAGAUGGGUAAUAUAGGAAAGGGCAUAUAGGAUAGAAUUAUAUGUGCAUUAGUAGUUAAUUGCUAACAUAAGAAGUUAAUUGCUAUGUGCAUGUGUUAAAUGUUUAAGUGUUGCAUGUAAAUGUGCAUAGAAAUUGUUUGAUUCCACCAAACUUAUUGUUUUAUUGAAUUCUGAUUAUGCUUUGGUUGGGAAAUCGUUAGUAAGAUCUUAAGUUGUUUGUUUCUUGAAUAAAACGCUUCUUUCCAAGUACACCAACAUAGGAUCCUUUGAGAAGAUCGACGAAUACUGAGGAUCUAGAUUUCACUUCACAAAUUUCCAAGGAAAGAACAGAUAGACAAGAUGCCUUAAACAUUUGAAGUUGUAAUAGUUAGUUUGUUCUUAAAUGUUUUGGAGAAUAAGUAGCAAAGCUACAACAGUUUAAAGUUAAAGCAAUAAGAGUUUGAGUUAUUCUUUAUUCUUUUCAAGGAUGUAUUAAACCUUUAUAGAAUUAGCAAUAAAAGUUAAAGUAUUCGUUUCCAAUGUGAGAAUUCCAUAAUUCGCCAACAAUAGUUUAUAUUUAUAUCAUAGAACUUUUAUUUUAUUUUGAGGACAAGUGUGUUGUUAAUAUUUAGGGAUUGUUAUACUCAUUCUUUUGAGGAAUAAAAGUUAGAUCAUUGAUUAUCCAAAGGACCAAGAGUUUAUUUUGGGCACGCAAAGGGAAUGUUUUCUUCUUUUUCUACCUUAUUAUUUGUGAUGAUUGAAUUUGAUCCUUGUUUCUUAGUUGAAUGUCCGGUAUGCGAAUAUCAUUCAUAAAUGAUUGUUUAUGUAUGUGAAUUCUGGAUGCUGGUGUGAUAUUACAUUGCUAGGAUAAUGUUAAGUGAAGUUUCGAACGUAAAAUAGAAUAUAUUACUUACAGGUCGCGCUUUAGGAUGGCCAACAAUAAUGACCUAGCUGCUGCUAUUCGCCUCUUGGCGGAAAAACUAGCCCAGGAAAGAACUGAGCGCCCCGAUUCUGCAGGGAACAUGUUUGAAAGGUUUGCGAAAGUUAAGCCACCAUACUUCAAGGGGCAAGCAGAACCGACCUUCCUAGAACACUGGAUUAGGGAGUUUGAACGGUAAAUUGUCCUGAAAAUAUGAAAGUAGGUCAAGCUGUCCUUUACCUAAAAGAUGAGGCCGAUCUAUGGUGGAAAGAAAAUAGAACUAAGCUAAGUGUUGUUGAAGGAUUUAAUUGGGACUCAUUUGUUGUUGCAUUGAGGGAAAAGUUUUAUCCUCCUUUUAUAACAAAACGAAAAGCGCAGGAAUUCAUAAACCUUGGGAUGGGGAGUAUGACCAUCGCUGAAUAUUAUAGCAAAUUUAUAGCGAUGUCGAGGAUCGCACCUGAAGUUGUAGCCACAGAAGAGAUAAAGGCUCAGAGGUUUGAGCAAGGGUUGACCGAUGAGUUCCAGUUGGGAUUAGGUGGAGAAAUCUUUACCUCUUUAGAUAAUGUGUAUAAGAGAACCGCUCAUAUUUACGGUUUGCAGUCCAUAAGGGACGCGAAAAAUGUUGUUGGGGAGAAAAGAAAAGAGUUUAAUGUCCAGAAAAACCAAGGGAAUUUCAGGAGGAAUAUGAAUGAGAAUAGGAAUGAAAAUGGAAAUGGAAAUUUUCGAGGAGGAAACAGUCAGGGGCACAACAAUAGGAGUAAAUCCGAGAGAGUGUAUCACUGCAAGAGGUGCAACAAUAACCACCCUGGGAAGGACUGUAAAGGAAAAUUGGUGAAUUGCCACUAUUGUCAGAAAAGGGGGCAUAGAGAGUUUGAGUGCUUCAUUAAGCACAGAAAGGAACAAAAUAGUAAUGGAGGUGGGAACCAAGAGAGGUUUAACCAGUCUGGAGAUCAAAAUUCAAAGCCUGGAGGGGCACAAAACAAUCAAGAGAACUAUAAUAAGCCUGCAAAUGAUAACAACAACCAGGAUAAGGCUCCGGGCAAACUAUUCAUGAUGAGUAGAAAUGAAGCUGAACGUUCUGCAGACGUAGUUCAUGGUACUUUUUUUUAAUUAAUUUUGUGCUAGUUAAACAUUAUUUGAUUCGGUAGCAACUUAUUCUUUCAUUUUGUCAUUUGUUAUUAAAAGUCUGAAAUUAGUAGAUUUUGAAUGUUUCAUUUACCUGUUAUUAUGCCCACCGGGGUAACCAUAAGGUGUAUAAGAUUAUUUAAGAACUUGCCUUUGAAGACAAAAGAUUGCGUUUUCCCUUCUGAUUGGACAAAAGUUUAAUUUUAGGGACCUAGAUGUAAUUCCAGGGACGGAUUGACUAAGUUUUUCCAAGGCUAAGAUAGACUGUGAAAUUUAGAGAGUAAUUUUAAGGAACCUUGUUGGGAAAUUGACCUCAUGUAGAUGUUUUGAGAAGUCCAAGAACCUUUAGUUAUUUCUGUAAUGCGAGUGAGGAAAUGGACGAAUAGAGAGUGUGAGCUAUUUUUUUCUGUAGUGUGCUAGUUGGGAGUAAAUAAGUUGGAGUGAAGAUCGAGGAUGUUCCCAGUGUGAAUGAAUUCAUUGAUGUGUUUCCGAGUGGAAUUGCGAGUAUGUCACCAACUAGAGCAUUUGAGUUCACUAUAGAGUUAAAUCCUGAAACGACACCUAUAUCUGAAACACCGUAUAGCAAGGAAUGAGAAAGAGCAUGGUAAACACUUGAGAGUUAUUUUGGAGACGCUUAGAAAGAAUCUAGUUUUAUAUGGAUGAAGUAUACAAAUCUUGAAGUCAUGUGGGUAUAAGUGACACUGGCGGAAUAGUGAAGGACUAAAUUGAUUGAAAACUACGUUACUUAAGGGAAUAAAUUUAAGAGAAGAUUCGAGUGGUCCAGGAUCGUUAGAAAUCAUUUGGCAUCUUAAAAAGAUGAAAAGAAAUAUAUGAAUUGGUGAAAGAGCUAGGGGUUGUGCCCAAAAGUUAUACAUAUCCAUGAAAGGCAUAAUGAGGUUUGGUAAAAAGGAAAAGUUGACCAGAAGGAGUCUCUGUAGAUCCUGCUAAGAUUAGAGAGGUGAGUGAGUGACCUAUUCCAAGAACGUGUAUGUAUCUAAAGUUUUUUAGGCCUAGAUGACCAUUAUAGGAUGUUGUGAAAGACUUUUCGAAGAGAGAAAAACCAUUGACCAACUUGUUGAAAAAGGAAUCGAAAUUCAAGUGAAGUGAGAAAUGUGAGGAAGCUUUUUAGAUUUAGCUUUUGUCGCGUCAAUUGAAACCUUAUAAGGCUAAUUACCAAACCAAUGACCUAGAGUUAGCUGUUAUGGUGUUAUCUACGAAUAUUUGGAGACAUUACCUUUAUAGAGCAACAUGUAAGAUCCUUACCGAGAACAAAAGUCUGAAAUUUUGGCAAUAAGGUCCAGUUGAAUCUUUGGGACAACAUUGAAAAUGAAUAUUUCUUUCCACCCUGCAACCGAUAGACAGAUUGAGAUUACUAACGGAAUUUAUGUUGAAAACCGGUGUUAUUGACUUUAAGGGUAAUUGGGAAGGCCACCUAGGUUCGAUUGAAUUUUCGUGCAUCAAUAGUUACCAUGCAAGCAUUACGAUGUCACAUGUUGAGGCACUGUAUGGAAAGAAUUGUAGAAGUCUUACUUGUUGGAAUGAGUUUAGUGAGAAUAUUGUAUUGAGGACAUAAUUCGUUGAGGAAGAAAUACCCAAAGUUAUUCCCUGAGAUGAGUUACGAGGGCGUAACUCGUUUUCUUUAAGAGAGGUAGAAUGCGAUAUAAAUUUGCGCUUCUUACCUAAUUUUAUGGUGUUUUUAUGCAUUUUUAUGCUUAUUUUAGCAAAUUAUACAUGUCGAUGCAAGUAAAUAGAUUCUCCGCGUAAGAAAAAGGUGUUCAUGAGUAAUUCAAGAAACUUUAAGUUGGCAAAAGAGUGUACAUAAAUGCCACAAGUACUUCUACAAUAAGAAUAAGUUCAAAAGUUUGGAAAGAUAUGUGAAUUUUCGUGUCAAGUUUCGGGACGAAACUUCUUUUAAGAGGGGUAGAUUGUAAUCCCCCGUAAUUUUAUAAAUCUUAUUAAUACAUUUUAACGUAUAGUUAAUUAUAUUUAAAUAGAAUUUACGAAUUUUAGAAAUAAAAAUGUAAUUAACGAAUAUUUAUUUUUAUACGUUUUAAAUAUUUCAACGAUUUAUGAAAUUAAAAUAAUUUUAGAAUUUCAUGUUGAAAAUAAAUCGAAUUACAAAACCGAUUGAAUUUAGAGAACGUUCCUAAUCGAUUUUGGAAUGAAAUCCUAAAACUAAGUUCCUAAUUCUAGCCCACUUUGGUAAAGCCCAUUGUGAUAAACCUAAACCCCCAUAAUCUCAUCUCACGUGAAACCAAAGAAACAACAAAAGAAAAAUCUCUCUCCUUCAUCCUUCACCCUUCACGUGAACCCUCAAACCCUCAAACCUUGCAGCCGCCAGCCACCAGCCACCGCACACCGCCUGCACCACCCUCGCCGUCGGCGUCUCCUCCUUCGUCCGCAACCACCACCCACCUACGAAACUGACCGCGACAGCCACCGUCCUGUGUCGUCGCCGACCAACCAGCACCAACUUCGCAAUCCUUCCACACGCAAACAGUCCUCCCUUUGGCUUGCUCCUUGCUCACGGCACCACCACCAACGACCCGAGCAACCCUCGCUGCCACCAUCGACAGCCGCCACCGCCGCUGCCGCGCCAUCUCCGACCGCCGUCCAACCACUCUUCAUUCUUUCUUUUGGUGGAGAAUUCUCCGUAGGCGACUUUUGAAUUCUUAAAGUGGUCUCGCAUUUUGUUUACACAAGUCUCUAAGGAUCAAUAAGCGUUUCCCAUCUACAGGUUUGAAGAUGAUGCAUCAUUGGGAUCGGGAUUAGAGAGCUUGUAGUUCAUUUGAUUUUCUAAGUUGGAUUUGGUUUGUUUAAGUGGACUCUAAAACUUAUUGAAUUAGUAACAUUAACUUUGUUUUUCGUUGAUUGGUUUUUGGGAUUUAUUCUGAAAAUGAUUAUUUAUAAACCUACAGUUAGUUUUAUGUUUUCCGCUGCAAAAUUCUGAAUAAGCCGUUACGUUUUCAC